This 420-nucleotide ribosomal RNA is filed under the name uncultured Paeniglutamicibacter sp. RNAcentral's name for it is "bacterial SSU rRNA". It matches the Rfam family "Bacterial small subunit ribosomal RNA", at positions 358 to 790 of the family's 1533-position model. The record is from RNAcentral. Lineage: Bacteria; Bacillati; Actinomycetota; Actinomycetes; Micrococcales; Micrococcaceae.
GGAAUAUUGCACAAUGGGCGAAAGCCUGAUGCAGCGACGCCGCGUGAGGGAUGACGGCCUUCGGGUUGUAAACCUCUUUCAGUAGGGAAGAAGCGAAAGUGACGGUACCUGCAGAAGAAGCGUCGGCUAACUCUGUGCCAGCAGCCGCGGUAAGACAGAGGAUGCAAGCGUUAUCCGGAAUGAUUGGGCGUAAAGAGCUCGUAGGCGGUUUGUCGCGUCUGCCGUGAAAGUCCGAGGCUCAACUUCGGAUCUGCGGUGGGUACGGGCAGACUAGAGUGAUGUAGGGGAGACUGGAAUUCCUGGUGUAGCGGUGAAAUGCGCAGAUAUCAGGAGGAACACCGAUGGCGAAGGCAGGUCUCUGGGCAUCUACUGACGCUGAGGAGCGAAAGCAUGGGGAGCGAACAGGAUUAGAUACCCCGG